CCAAACUAAAGCCACAAAAGAAGAAAUAUAAAAAGCUAAUAAUAAACUAUAGAAUAUAAAUAAAUUCUCUUCAACAACAAAGAACAAACUAAGAUCAUGGAACUUUCUCUUCUCAGCCAUAAGCACCAUCCUUUGCUCCUUCAUUGCCCUCUCACCUCCAAUCUCUUCACAAGGGCACACACAAAAAUUGACCAUAAAAGUACUUCAAAUAGGUUAUUACCAUCACCAUGCAGCUGUUCACAUUCUUUCUCCAAUAAAAUUGCAGCAAAACCAGUCACCAUGUCUUUACAAAUUGAAGGAAGAAGAGCAUUACUAAAUUUUCUCCUCACAACAUUUGGUGGAGUUUAUGCAUGUGAUGUGGCUGAAGCUGUUAGCACUAGUAGAAGAGCUCUUAGAGGAGCCAAAAUUCCUGAAAGUGAUUACAAAACUUUGCCAAAUGGUCUCAAGUACUAUGAUUUGAAGGUUGGGAAUGGAGCUGAAGCUGUGAAAGGAUCCCGAGUUGCAAUUCACUAUGUUGCUAAAUGGAAAAGUAUCACCUUUAUGACUAGUAGACAAGGAAUGGGCGUUGGAGGCGGAACGCCCUAUGGAUUUGAUGUAGGCCAAUCUGUGAGAGGAAAUGUCCUAAAAGGUUUGGAUUUAGGAGUCGAGGGCAUGCGAGUAGGAGGCCAGCGGCUGUUAAUUGUACCUCCUGAACUUGCCUAUGGAAGCAAAGGAGUCCAAGAAAUCCCUCCAAAUGCAACAAUAGAAUUUUGUUAUGACAUUAAAGUGGAUUUCAUUCAAUAAUACAUUUUCACCUUUGCAACUGUUGGACCGCAGUUGGAUGUUGAACUUCUUGCCAUCAAACAGAGCCCAUUUGGGACUGCUGUAAAGAUUGUUGAAGGCUAAUGCAAUGGUUUAAUAUUCAGAGUGCUAAGUUAACAUAUUAUGAGAAGAUAGUCUCCACCUAGUAGAGACUACAGAGGCCCUACCAGAUACCCUUUAGUUCACCCUUGAUGUGAAUGAAUCUGUAGUUUUACAUGUUUUUGGACUGGCAAAUAAGAAACAGAGAAAAAGUUGAAACAUUGGUAAAAAAAUUGAUCAUUUGUACUCAAUAUUUAAUACAUGACUUAUCUUUGUUAGAAAUGAAAAUGUUCAUGAGACUGGACCACAAAAAUAUAAUCUAUUAAAAGAAAGAAAAAAAAAGAUGGUUGUUUUCA
This is an RNA transcript of Cicer arietinum (chickpea), 1196 nucleotides long. It is a transcript of the gene named peptidyl-prolyl cis-trans isomerase FKBP16-4, chloroplastic, with no coding region annotated. NCBI's taxonomy places the organism in Eukaryota, Viridiplantae, Streptophyta, Magnoliopsida, Fabales, Fabaceae. The record is from RefSeq and is a predicted model, not a curated record.